GCCGGUGUGGUGGAACUGGCAGACACAAGGGACUUAAAAUCCCUCGCCGCAGGCAUACGGGUUCGAGCCCCGUCACCGGCACCA
This 84-nucleotide transfer RNA is filed under the name Candidatus Scatomorpha intestinigallinarum. RNAcentral's name for it is "tRNA-Leu". It matches the Rfam family "tRNA". From Rfam's summary of the family: Transfer RNA (tRNA) molecules are approximately 80 nucleotides in length. Their secondary structure includes four short double-helical elements and three loops (D, anti-codon, and T loops). The record is from RNAcentral. Lineage: Bacteria; Bacillati; Bacillota; Clostridia; Eubacteriales.